RNAcentral lists this transfer RNA (73 nucleotides) under Dorymyrmex brunneus. RNAcentral describes it as "tRNA-Cys". The record is from RNAcentral. Lineage: Eukaryota; Metazoa; Arthropoda; Insecta; Hymenoptera; Formicidae.
UAUUUUAUAGUUUAAGAGGAAAAUAUUAAAUUGCAAAUUUAAAGAAAUUUUUAUUAAAAAAAAAUUAAAAUAU